Molecule: ribosomal RNA, 433 nt
Filed under: uncultured bacterium
Lineage: Bacteria
Description: partial 16S ribosomal RNA
Rfam family: Bacterial small subunit ribosomal RNA
Source: RNAcentral
AACGAACGCUGGCGGCAUGCCUAACACAUGCAAGUCGAACGAGACCUUCGGGUCUAGUUGCGCACGGGUGCGUAACGCGUGGGAACCUGCCCUUAGGUUCGGAAUAACUCCCCGAAAGGGGUGCUAAUACCGGAUAAUGUCUUCGGACCAAAGAUUUAUCGCCUUUGGAUGGGCCCGCGUUGGAUUAGCUAGUUGGUAGGGUAAAAGCCUACCAGGGCGACGAUCCAUAGCUGGUCUGAGAGGAUGAUCAGCCACACUGGGACUGAGACACGGCCCAGACUCCUACGGGAGGCAGCAGUGGGGGAUAUUGGACAAUCGGCGAAAGCCUGAUCCAGCAAUGCCGCGUGAGUGAUGAAGGCCUUAGGGUUGUAAAGCUCUUUUACCCGGGAUGAUAAUGACAGUACCGGGAGAAUAAGCUCCGGCUAACUCCGUG